CACGUCUUUACCCCAACAUGGACAUGUGCUGGGUUCCUCCUCAAAAGCGGGUAAAGCCCCCAGGCGCGGUGGCUCACGCCUGUAAUCCCAGCACUGUGGGAGGCUGAGGUGGGUAGAUCACCUGAGCUCAAGAGUUUGAGACCAGCCUGACCAACACGGUGAAACCCCGUCUCUACUAAAAAUACAAAAUUAGCCGAGCGUGGUGCCGGGCACCUAUGGUCCCUGCUACUCAGGAGGCCGAGGCAGGAGAAUCACUUGAAUCCGGGAGCAGAGGUUGCAGUGAGCCGAGAUCAUGCCACUGCACUCCAGCCUGGGAGACAGAGCGAAACUCCAUCUCAAAAAAAAAAAAAAAAAAGUGGGCCGGGCACAGUGGCUCACACGUGUAAUCCCAGCACUUUGGGAGGCCGAGGCCAGCGGAUCACAAGGUCAGGAGUUCGAGACCAACCUGGCCACCAUGGUGAAACCCCGUCUCUACUAAAAAUACAAAAAUUAGCUGGCCGUGGUGGUGCGCGCCUGUAAUCCCAGCUACUUGGGAGGCUGAGGCAGGAGAAUUGUUUGAAGCCGGGAGGUGGAGAUUGCAGUAAGCCGAGAUCGCGCCACUGCACUCCAGCCUGGGCGACAGAGCGAGGCUCUAUCUCAAAAAAGAAAAAAGAGUGGUGACAGCCGACCAAAAGUGGCUCAAGAGACAUCCUUCUGCCUUAGGGUCCCGCUGGCCCCAGGAAAGCUCCUUUCGUGCCUCCUGAGGACUCUGGGACGGAGAGGUCUGGAGGCCACAGCCAGCUCGCCCCCGCCCCCGCCUACGUCCUGCUUUCUGGCCGCUGCCUCUGGUCUGCUGCAGUCAAAGGAGCAGGGCCAGCCCUGAGCUCCCACCCAGCGCCAGUGGGGGACAACGUGGUGUCAGAGGCUCCUCUAGAGGGAAGGCGAAGAAGCCGCUUGGGAUCCUUGGGGUGGGGUGGCUGGGCCUGCAGGGGUCGACAGCUUGGGUCCCUCGGGCCACCCUGGGGAGCUGAUGGCUGGUGGAGGGUAGGGCCCCACUUUGUGCUUCCUGCUGUGAUGGGCGAAGGUGGAUGGGGAUCCCUGGAGCAGCCGGUGCUCCGCCCCAUGUGGGCUCCUGCGGGAUUCGGGGGACAGGGACUCUGAGCCUUCCCAUGUGGGGGGCCUGGAUGUCUCUAUCCCCUGGCAGUCACGAAAACUCAAGCCACAUCCCCCACCAGUGCAGGGACCCAGUGGCUUCACAACCCACCCACCUGGGAUAAAGGACAAAUGGCCCAGGUGGGGUGAAGCCAGGGGAGGGACGGGCAGAACCACGUCAGGUUCAGGACACUGCGAAGCUCCUAUACCCCUGGGGCCAGGGCCAGGCUGCACAGGGUUCAGAGAUGGAUCCCCGGUAAGAGGUUCAGACACAGGUUCCCAGAACAGGCCCCAAGCUUCCAACAGCAGUGGGGUAAGGACCUCCUGGAGUGGAAGUUGGGGGGUCUCAGGAGCAGAGGCUGAACCCCGGGUUACUUAUAGACCCCCUAAAGUGGAAGUUGGGGGGUCUCAGGAGCAGGGGCUGAACCCCAGGUUACUUACAGACCCCCUGGAGUGGAAGUUGGGGGGUCUCAGGAGCAGAGGUGGAACCCUGGGUUACGUACCGACCUCCUGGAGUGGAAGUUGGGGGGGGUCUCAGGAGCAGAGGCUGAACCCCGGGUUACGUACCAACCCCCUGGAGUGGAAGUUGGGGGGGGGUCUCAGGAGCAGAGGUGGAACCCCGGGUUACGUACCGACCCCCUGGAGUGGAAGUUACUUACAGGGGCUGUGUGACUACUCCGGCCUCCUGGGACCCCCAUGGCAAUGCUCCAGGCAGCCACCGCCCUCUCGAGGUCGUCCCUUCCUGUGACUGGCACCUGGGAGCUGAGCUGGCUGCAGCAGGGCCACCGGCCGGGACACCCCACAGAGCAGUCACUGGCUGGCCCUGGAGCUCCCCAUCUGACUAGAUUGAUGGACUGAUGGAUAGGAGGCCCCGCCAGGCCCAAGCCCACAGGCCAGAUGGGCACCUCUCCGUGCAGCCCCCCCCAGUCAGCCUUGUGGGUAGGUGUAGGGAGGCGUGGUGGCGAGGCAGGGCACGGGAUGGGAGAAGGGUACCUGGGGCCUGGCACUCAAAGAUGAGUGACGAGGUGGGAGGUGGGGACAGCCAGAGGCCCUCACAGCCCUGAUGGGGCUGGAAGACGCCAAGGCCCAGAGAUGGGGUCCGGGGCUCCAGGUCAGAUCAAGGAAAAACCCAGCCCAGGCGGGCAUGCCCGGCUCCCUUCCGCGGCGCCACAGCGGCUUCGAGCCAGGCAGAGCAAAAUCCCCGAGGAAAGGCGUCCCUCCCCAGCUCUCACCUCCCCAGACCCGGCAGGGUUGCCGGGACGACGGCUCAGGCCUUCCGGAGGUUGCCACAGAGCCAGGAGCCCAGGGCUGCCCCAGCCCACGCCCGGCUGCUCGUCCCCCGUGCUCCUGCCCUCUCGGGAGCAGCGUCCCUGUGUCCACGGGAGGGAUCGCACCGCGGGGCCCCUGCCCCACCGCUAGUGGGGUCCAUCUUCCUCUGGAGACCCCGGUGUGUGUAAGCAGAGCUGAGGACUGAUCUUUAAGCUGCCUCCUGGCCCUGCUCGUGAGUCUCAGGAAACUGUGACACUCACCUGGCCCGGGGGUCCUGGCCCAGGGGUCCCCGCUCCAGGAGCCACCCAGCAAAGGGAAAAGGAGAGGGCACUCCUGAGGGUACAUGGCCCACUCACAGGGGGUACAGCCUUGUGUGGCAGGAGGGACGGAGCCCGGCUGUCCCAUCGCAGUGACUCCAACCUCUAAUAAGCCUCAAGACACUCGGGGCUCGGGCGGCGAGAUCCUGGCAACAGAGUAGGGUAGACGUUGGGGCCUCAGGGCCCCCAGCUGGCUCCUGAGGCACAGGCGGCGCGGCCCUCACUCUGGCCACAGCAGCCAAAUGCUCCCGUCCUUAUUCACAGGCUGGGGGUGUGCGGCAGGGAGAGGAGGGUCCUGACCGAUCUCACCGGGACCCAGGUCCUGGCCCUCCCGCCCGUGGGUUGCCACACCCCACGGCCCGAGGUUGACAUGGCCACACAGCUUUGGUAAAGACUUUUAAGAGAAAGAAGUAUUUUAAAAAGUAGCAGUGCUCUGAGGCUCAGGGUGUAGGAUCGGGGGCACAGCCUGGUCCCGG
Molecule: long non-coding RNA, 3193 nt
Filed under: Homo sapiens (human)
Lineage: Eukaryota; Metazoa; Chordata; Mammalia; Primates; Hominidae
Description: HSALNT0254469
Source: RNAcentral